Long non-coding RNA from Oncorhynchus keta (chum salmon), 1560 nucleotides. RefSeq lists it as uncharacterized. The transcript is spliced from 3 exons. NCBI's taxonomy places the organism in Eukaryota, Metazoa, Chordata, Actinopteri, Salmoniformes, Salmonidae. The record is from RefSeq and is a predicted model, not a curated record.
AUUCUGCAAGUUUUCUCAUCGAUGAAACAUUUGAUCGCAAUACAGUGUUCUGUUCUCAAAACUAUAAUCUGUUACGAACAGACUUUACCCUUUGCUAAAGUUGAAAAAAAAAAUGGCAUUGUUUAAAAGGAGUGCAAAGGCGAAUUUAGUUCCCUAACGUAAAUAUGCAAAUGUAUGCUACACGCGCCAAUAGGAUCUCGCUAGGUCGUGCUUGGCUCUGCCCAUCUCCUUGCUUGUUCUGCCCACUAUGACUCAUUUGUUCCCAUUUGAAACGUCGAAUGGUGGUCAAUCUUUGGUUUAGCUCUUAAUUUGGUAGGCGAAGCAAAAAUCCAAACUCUAAACCAGUGGUCUGGUCGAUCUUCAAGGUAUUCCUAGUAUAUCAUGAAACAUUUCAAUGAUAAAACGUGUUGUGCUGUUGGCGGUAGGUUCACUUAAUUCAGAAGCCCUGCGCACCGGGUGGGCAAAGUGGUCCAAUGUUUUAAACAUUUAACGAAAAGACAAACUUCGCCUACCCGAGUUCUGUGGUUUAACCCGAGUGUGCCUACUGUGCUGGCCAAUCGGAUAGCUCAAAUCACUGUGACUACAGCUUCCACGACCAAUGCCACAGCAACGUUUGAUAUGAGCCAAUGAGCAACAUGAAUUUGUGCAGAUGUGGUGUGACUCGAGUUUUGCCAUCAGGUGGAAGACGGUGUCCCCUCUCUGGUCAGACUCACUGGAGGAAAGGAAGGAGAGAUCAGGGACCGUGAGAGGCUGACCCUCUGCUGCUCUCUCCUUCGCUGAGACUAAUACAGUGUUCAAAACAACUGGGAAUCUCUGACUUCAAAUCCCGAGUUGUCUUGAAAGCACCUUACAGAUGCAGGUCCCAUCAGUCCAGUCAAAUAAAAAGCAAAUUAUUUGCACGUUAUUUAUGUUCAGCUGUGCCUCACAAGUGCUACACCGUCUGAUCUAUUUUGUUAUCAAAGGCUGAGUUUGAAAUAUAAUAUGAUCUGAGAAUAACAAUAUUAGCCAGCCAGGCAUAUAACCAAUAUGCUGUGAUAAUGGUCCCAUGUUUCAUGAGCUGAAAUAAAAGAUCCCUGAUAUUUUCCAUAUGCACAAAAAGAUUAUUUAGCUCAAAUUUAGUUUACAGCUCUGUUAGUGAGCUCUCCUUUGUCAAGAUAAUCCAUCCACUUUACAGGUGUGGCAUAUCAAGAAGUUGAUGACACAGCAUGAUGAAUUCAUUUUUAAAUGUAACCUUUCUUAGCCUAGGCAAGUCAGUUAAGAACAAAUUCUUAUUUACAAUGAUGGCCAAACCGAGGUGAAUUGUACACUGUCCUAUGGCCCUAUAUCCCAAACACAAUCAGUUGUGAAACAGCUUGGAUUUGACCCAGGGUGUCUGUAGUGACACCGCAAGCACUGACAUGCAGUGCUUUAGACCACUGCACCACUAGGGAGCACAUUUCAAUUGACUGAUUUCCUUAUAUGAACUGUAACUGAGUAAAAUGGUUGAAAUUGUUGCAUGUUUCGUUUAUAUUUCUGUUCAGUAUAUUAGGGCUACUGCACAAACCCCAUUCAUACAUAACA